CUCCUAGUACGAGAGGACCGGAGUGGACGCAUCACUGGUGUUCGGGUUGUCAUGCCAAUGGCACUGCCCGGUAGCUAAAUGCGGAAGAGAUAAGUGCUGAAAGCAUCUAAGCACGAAACUUGCCCCGAGAUGAGUUCUCCCUGAGACUUAGAGUCUCCUGAAGGAACGUUGAAGACGACGACGUUGAUAGGCCGGGUGUGUAAGCGCAGCGAUGCGUUGAGCUAACCGGUACUAAUGAACCGUGAGGCUUAACCUUAC
This 258-nucleotide ribosomal RNA is filed under the name Salmonella enterica subsp. enterica serovar Agona str. SA-4. RNAcentral describes it as "partial 23S ribosomal RNA". It matches the Rfam family "Bacterial large subunit ribosomal RNA", at positions 2675 to 2925 of the family's 2925-position model. Lineage: Bacteria; Pseudomonadati; Pseudomonadota; Gammaproteobacteria; Enterobacterales; Enterobacteriaceae. The record is from RNAcentral.